GCCAGGCGUGGGGGCUCACGCCUGUAAUCCCAGCACUUUGGGAGGCUGAGGCGGGUGGAUCACCUGAGGUCAGGAGUUCGAGACCAGCCUGGCCAACAUGGUGAAACCCCGUCUCUA
This is an unclassified non-coding RNA of Pongo abelii (Sumatran orangutan), 117 nucleotides long. It matches the Rfam family "Metazoan signal recognition particle RNA". From Rfam's summary of the family: The signal recognition particle (SRP) is a universally conserved ribonucleoprotein. It is involved in the co-translational targeting of proteins to membranes. Lineage: Eukaryota; Metazoa; Chordata; Mammalia; Primates; Hominidae. The record is from Ensembl.